GCGGAUGUGGCGGAAUUGGUAGACGCACUGGAUUUAGGUUCCAGCGGGCUUAGCCCGUGAGAGUUCGAGUCUCUUCGUCCGCACCA
This 86-nucleotide transfer RNA is filed under the name Pseudomonas phage Psa21. Its description in RNAcentral is "tRNA-Leu". It matches the Rfam family "tRNA". From Rfam's summary of the family: Transfer RNA (tRNA) molecules are approximately 80 nucleotides in length. Their secondary structure includes four short double-helical elements and three loops (D, anti-codon, and T loops). The record is from RNAcentral. Lineage: Duplodnaviria; Heunggongvirae; Uroviricota; Caudoviricetes; Chimalliviridae.